GCUUCUCUUAUCUUAUCAAUUAUGGCAAGCUCCUCUUCGUCUUUAUCUCAUAUAGGGGUGUUUCAUCUCUAUCUAUUUGGGAUCCGUUGGAGAGGAACAAUUAUAUGGUUUGGAAAAUACGUAUUAUUCUGUAUCGUGCAAACGAGCUUUCUGAAAUUAUCGACGGCAAAGAAAAUAGUCCCUUCGGUAGUACCUUAUGGGCUGGAGAUGGAGAGGUGUCUUUGGCACUCCGAGGUAUUUUAUUUUUUGAUUUUAUUGGGUAUACUUGUACUCGUUAGAUAUGAUCCACCCGCCUUUAAAAAAAAAGAAAAAAAAAGAAAAAGAAAAAGAAAAAGAAGAGAAGAAGAAGAAGAGGAAAGCUUGUAUCCAGUCCCGAUCCUGAGUUUCACACAUGGUGACUUUGCCGUGUCGUAUGAAGUCUGGAUCUCGCUUUGCUGAUACCUAUGCUUCACAAAACUUGGCUCGCUGUCAAUCAAUGUCUCGAUCUUCAACUUCAGGCACUUCGACGUGGUUCCGGGGCUGUCAUGGAGUAUCUCCAACAAGCAAAAAUAAUUGCUGAUAACCUUGAUGCCAUUGGCAGGCUGUUGCAAUUUGAGGAGUAUCAGACUUAUAAAUUUGUGGACAGCUUACCAAUGGCACAAGACCGGGUCCAUCUAAUAAUUUCUCUCUGGAUCUCAUCAAAACUUGUCGGAUACAAGUAUUUUCAUUGGAUGGGAUGGAGUUCUGAGAAGUUCAAGCAAUUUUACUUGUUUCUGUUACACUCUUAUUUAGAAGGUGGCUAAAGUUCUGGUUACUGAGUAUACAAAUCAGGAGAACUGAAGGCAUAUGAAUGGAUUUCUAGCUUUCGUUACCGAUAAUUCCGAGGUUUCACUAAUCCUCUGCUUUUCCGUUGUUACUCCCAAGCAUUUUUUGAUUAAAUGCCAGAAUCAUUAUGAGGAGCUGCACCUAGAAACCUUGUUUAAAAAAAAAAAAAGCUUGCGCAUAUAUGUGGGAUGGAUCUCUCAUGAAAUAUACACAUUUUCAUGUAGGUACUCCUUGGAUAAGCAAACUGGCACAUACAACAAGAUCCAAAAUGUUGCAUCUGUGGGAAGCUGAAGGCAUAUGUGCAGUUUAGAUCAGUGUAAUCAGUGUUGAGAAAGUAGUUUUGAUGCAUAAGACCUCUCAGAGAUAAUUGUAUUGGUGAUGUGUGUAGCAGGAGUUUAAAGAAAAUUUAUGCAAAAAUAAUCUGACAUUUUAUGAAUUUUUUUUCACCAUGUUUUCCUUCUGAUGGAACACUGUGAAUAAGUUUGCGCUGUGUCAAUGUUAUCUGCCA
RNAcentral lists this long non-coding RNA (1312 nucleotides) under Phoenix dactylifera (date palm). RNAcentral describes it as "long non-coding RNA (PDAC_LNC005808)". The record is from RNAcentral. Lineage: Eukaryota; Viridiplantae; Streptophyta; Magnoliopsida; Arecales; Arecaceae.